UGCGCAAGGGGGAAAAUGGAAGGUUUUCUACCACAGAAUGUGUAACUUUGAUUUUCACACACAAAAUGGUCUCAACAGUGGUUGAAAUAUACAAAAACAGAAACCCCAAUCCAGCCCUUAGCCUGAUGCUCUGCAUGCUGUUAAGAAGGGGGUGUUGAAUGAUUCCAUUUAUUUGAAAUACCCAGGAGAGGGAGAAGGUUCAUUUGAGAACUUCCCCUGCUGAAGCUUUCCCUGACCCUCUGGGAGGGGCCGGACCCUCCGUCUGUGGUCCCACAACCCCUGAGGAGGAGGAGGCACUCAUCAGGUCCCUUGGCGCCUUGCAGCCCUUUUCUUGGGCCUGCCUUUUACCUCCAUCCUCCACUCCACUGAUGGCUCAGAGCCCAGAAUCCUGUCUUCAUCCUGGCAACAGUCCCUUCAGGGCCCAGCAGGAUGGGGGAAUGAAUAAAUGUGCCUGUUUCUGAACAUAAUCAUUAAAUUCUUUACCUGUAAUGUGGACAUUAAAGGUGAAUCAUUUCCCCCCUUAAACCCCCUCCAUCUUUCAAACCUGCUACCCCCGACCCUCACUGAGCAAAAAAUUGGAAAGCUGCUCUCACGGCAUUAUUGAAAUUGAAAUAGGGAAUAGAACCUGGAUGUCCGGAGCAAUCUUCUGACCUGGAAUUUUCUCCUCGCUUUGCUGCCUCUUGGGAAAAGCCUGUUCCGCACAAGCUGGCAAGGUACUGUGGUCGCAUCAGACCUGCCUUGUAGCCUCAGGGCAUGUGGGUCUUGGGGCAUCUGACAUAGGAGCACCCUGAUUCCGUUU
RNAcentral lists this long non-coding RNA (799 nucleotides) under Homo sapiens (human). RNAcentral's name for it is "HSALNT0069603". The record is from RNAcentral. Lineage: Eukaryota; Metazoa; Chordata; Mammalia; Primates; Hominidae.